RNAcentral lists this ribosomal RNA (436 nucleotides) under uncultured bacterium. Its description in RNAcentral is "bacterial SSU rRNA". It matches the Rfam family "Bacterial small subunit ribosomal RNA", at positions 29 to 508 of the family's 1533-position model. The record is from RNAcentral.
AGCGAACGCUGGCGGCAGGCUUAACACAUGCAAGUCGAACGGGCGUAGCAAUACGUCAGUGGCAGACGGGUGAGUAACGCGUGGGAACGUACCUUUUGGUUCGGAACAACACAGGGAAACUUGUGCUAAUACCGGAUAAGCCCUUACGGGGAAAGAUUUAUCGCCGAAAGAUCGGCCCGCGUCUGAUUAGCUAGUUGGUGAGGUAACGGCUCACCAAGGCGACGAUCAGUAGCUGGUCUGAGAGGAUGAUCAGCCACAUUGGGACUGAGACACGGCCCAAACUCCUACGGGAGGCAGCAGUGGGGAAUAUUGGACAAUGGGCGCAAGCCUGAUCCAGCCAUGCCGCGUGAGUGAUGAAGGCCCUAGGGUUGUAAAGCUCUUUUGUGCGGGAAGAUAAUGACGGUACCGCAAGAAUAAGCCCCGGCUAACUUCGUAG